Molecule: long non-coding RNA, 202 nt
Filed under: Elaeis guineensis (African oil palm)
Lineage: Eukaryota; Viridiplantae; Streptophyta; Magnoliopsida; Arecales; Arecaceae
Description: long non-coding RNA (EGUI_LNC045858)
Source: RNAcentral
ACCUGACUUAGACAUCAAAGAAUCCGAUCAGAGCAAAUCCGACAAGCUUUUUUAUUCUUUUGUGUGCAAAUCUACGACAUCAAGAUAAAUCAUAUUCCACCAUUGCAAAUUGAACAACACCCUCCAGAUGGUCCUGGCCAAGCCGGACUGUGGCAGCAACAAGUACCAUAGUCAAAUGUUUUGUAUCAUCACUUAGGCUCAA